Molecule: non-coding RNA, 6563 nt
Organism: Xyrichtys novacula (pearly razorfish)
Lineage: Eukaryota; Metazoa; Chordata; Actinopteri; Labriformes; Labridae
Source: the annotation of a GenBank genome assembly
UGGGUCUUUGGGGAGCUCAGGCAUUUCCCUGAGUGUCUGCUUCUCUGCUGAACUUGGAGCUUGACAUCAUGAAACAUGUAUGAGGUGGCACUCUCUGAGCACCGCGAACAUCAAUCCCAGUAAUGCUGCUGUUUACUCUGCCACAGUCUCAUAAAAGCCUUCAUUUGCAUUCACACACAUAGACAGACGUGCACAUAUUUGUAAUUUAUGUCACUGUUUCCCAACAAGGAACUGAAACAGAAGUAGAUGAUAAGUGUGAUUCAUGAUUUCUGAGGCGUUAACGAUGUUGGGGGCAAAGCAUUCAGAGUAAUGGAUUUACAGUAAUCUCAUUAUAAAAGGUGGAUGUCUUCUCACAUCAUGCAGAUUAAUCUCAAAUACCAAGAUAGCAUUAAAUUACUGUAAUGUUUUCAUUUUUAUGCCCAUAAGAUAUUUAUGAGAUCAUUAUUUUUCUUCCUUGUAACCUCAUUUCUGAUGUGCAAUGUUUAUGUAAAUUGUGCUGUUUUGAUAGAUUUAGAUGAAUAUUUAACUUUUAAAAUGAUUCACAGAAUCUGUCCUCCAUUAUUAGAUUACAUUUUGAGGUGUUAGACAUGACUCAUGGUUAAGGUCUUUACCCCUGUCUCAACAUUGAAUACUACAAGAGCUGAAACAUUGGAUAUUAGACCUGAUUGUAAAAUGUGCUCGUACAAGACAUGAGAAAAGACAACUUUGUUUAGAUCACAGGUGAUGAAAUGGAGAAAUCUCACCCCUUCAAGCAACGCAGAAGUCUGUCUCACAGGACAGAGCGAGCAACAAACUCUGGGUUCUCUACUUGUUGCAGCAGUAAGUGUGCGCAGCUGCUCUGGUGCCCUUUCAUGACUGAAUUUGCCAUCUCCAUGGUGUAUUGUCUUUUGAGUGACUUCAGAGACAUUUCAGAGAAAUCAGAUUUGAGCUGCCAGACUGAGAUGCAUCUUUGGUAAUAAUAUUAAAAAUCUUAUUUCAAACUACGCAAACUACUUGAUUCAAGUGUUGCCUAAAUCUGAUGAACAAAGAUUACAUUUCAUGUACUUUUUUUCCCCUUUCCUGACUGAAGGAACAACAGGCAGCAGUUCGAACAAGAAAAGAUCAAGAGCUUUGAAGAGACUUUGAGACUUGGUUUUGACAUGUCAGCUAUUUUGACACCUGACUUGAGACAUAACUCUGUAAAUGUUGCAAGUUUCCUGUUUUCAGAAGUCCCUUUUACCCUUUUAGUUUUCCACACGGUAUCAUUCUGAUGUGAGAGUUGUUUGAACUGUUUCUUACUUGUUUGGACAAAGCUUGUACUUGAAAACAGACUCACUUGGGAUGCAGUCUAAGACUUGAGACUGACAUUGGACCUGGUGUCAGGUCCAGUGUCAGGUGGACUUGAUUCUUAGCUAGAAACCUCCUUGGAAAAUUGUUCAGAGCUUAUACUGUGACUUAAAUGAGCAAUGUGUAGAAAUGGGAACAUUGAGUGAUAUCUGAAGGUCAGAUUCUAGAUUGAAAUGCUCCCUUGCUCACCCAUCCUGUGGGUGAAACCAUGGUGGCUUUUCAGGACAAAAAGCUGCAUGAUAGUAUGAUCCUCCCUUUGUCAAGUUUUUUUUAUUUUUUUAUUUUUUUUUUUUAAUCAAAAAUACCAAUCAAACUAAAGUCUAUAGCACAUAACAACCACUCUGCUCUUCUCUGUCUUUCAAAUUAUAAUCCUUUUCUGCCAAGUCUGUUUGGGCCAUAGCCACUAAUAUUACAUACUGAAUCUUUCAUUAAGUCUUCCUCUGAAAGAACCUUAAAGCAGCUCUGCUAAAAGGUUUCCACAAAAAAAAUUUACAGAAUAUUGACACAAGUCAAUCUACUAUCUGUCUAUCUUGCUCAUUACCUGACUGUAUUUUAUUUUUGGUUCUGAUUGGUCAAAACCCCCAGACAAAGUAACGAGAACUGAGUUUAGUUUAGGAUGAAACAGCCCUGUCUGUAAGAACACUGUCGUAAGACGAAACUGAGGGACCUUUAAGGUGUCAUUUUGUAAUCAAUUUAAUCAUUUUAAAUUGAUACCUGAUGUCAGCUUAUCUGUACAUUUCAUUGAUGACUGGUUUAUAAGAGGGAUAUGAUAUAAUUAGCUGGUGAUAUUACAUUAUAUGUUGAGUUAGCUGUUGGGUAUGCCACAUAGAGUCCCCUCAUGUUGGGGUCCUAUUUCCCCUGAAAGGACUCCAUGAGGCAUUUUAAUCAGCUAAUUGAGCAUAACCCUUCGCAUAAUGUCACCACUUUGGUUUUUAAGCCUCAUGUAAGAGUCUGAAUGCACAGGUUUAAAUCACUAAAUGUUUUUUUUUUUUAAAAUCAGAAAAGAAGCAGAGACAAAAGGGAGAAUUGCAACCAUAAAUGGUGCAGUUUUUCCAGUGUAGUAGUUCAGCUAAGCUUGGGGCAGAUGUUGGGGUCCUCACAGUCUCUAAGGAUACACUAAUUAUCACCUCCAGGUAACGUCCUGCACUCUUCUUGGCCAGCUGAAAAGGCGCUCUCUUUCUCUCAGUUCCACUACUCCACUGUUAUUGUCAUCUCUGCUGAACCCAACUCUUCCUCCUCAGUCCGACCUCUUCCUCAACUCUACGUUAUUUUGUUGUUGUUGUUGCUGUUGUUUUUUACAAUGCCCCCACUCCACACACAUGCACUCACGAACAAACACCACUAUGUCCCUUUGUUUGAUAGAUACCAUUAUAAAGAGGGUGCAUUUAUACUUAGGGAGAAUUCAUCCUUUUACACAGUGUGUUUUAAAAUUAUUUUGUGAUGCAUGAAUACACAAAGACUAAGACAAAAAAGCUUAGUUUUCUCUCUUAGGCCAAAAUAGGUUUCCAUGGAUGACUUUACCUAAAGGUUGCACCUGUACUUAUACUGUUAGGAGGAAUACAUUAUAAACAGGUCAUUUUAGACACCCAUUAAGUCAAAGAUAUUGAAACAUAACACAUUUAUUGAGUGGUGAGCAUGCACAAAAGCAACUACACACAACUACACCACAGCGCCCACUGCUGGCUGAGUGAUCAAAGCCAGUGAUAUACGUCUAGGUCAAUAAUAGAAACUGUAACGAUGCAGCAUCAACCUUUGCUCUUGCCUCAUUGGCUCUUACUUCCUUCUGCUGAGCAAAUGCGUGUACUGUUGUGUCUGUUAAGUUUUCCUUAUUUUUACAUUUUUCAUGUCUUGUCCUUCCUGUUUUUAUUUUAAAGUCAUGAACCCUUGUCUCUGUUUCAGAUGCGGUUCUGCCUGCCCUGCCCCUGUCUUGUCACAACUGCCUCCUGAUUGUCUCUCCCCACCUGUUUCCCAUCACCCUCAUUACCUCUUCUAUUUAACCUCAUGUCUUCCAUCAGUUGUCUCAUCACAAGUUCAUUGUACAUCACAGUCUUGGUUCCAGCAUUUGUUUUACAGUCAGAGUCAUAGCUUUUGUUGUAUUUUGAAUCUUGCAUGCUUCUUUGGACCUUGCCUUUUGCCUCUUGUUUUUUGGAUUCCUCUGCCAGUUCUAACUGCCUUCCUGUGUCCUGCCAUUUUGCUUGUUUUAAUAAACCUUUUGAUUCUUGGUCUGGUGUCUUGAAUUUGUGUCAGCUUGUUCUAAGCCUUGUUUGAUAACAGGGACCUAACUAUGCUACAGUUCCUUAACACUGUAGCAGGGGUGACCAUGGAGGCUAAAACUGAUGGAAAUGCUUCAUUGUUUUUGUUUGUUUGUUUUGUUUGUUUUUUUAUUUACAGCAACGUUUUUAUCACUCAGAACUGUGGAUUAUGUUGACUGGAACAUAGUGCUUGUGUGGGCCAAAUAGAGGGGUGGAAAUGGUAAAAAAAAAAAUGUAAAAAAGGCAAACCGGGAGAUCAUGAAGAGAGAGGAGUAAGAUAGGGCAUGUGAGAGACAGAUUAAGGGUCCAUGGGAGACUAGAAAAGCAGGAAGAGAAUGGAGUCCUAGGGGAUCUGAUUAUCAGAUUAAGCAGAAAAUGCUACAUCAUCAAAAUCACAGCAUGGAAAUGAAAGGUUUCCUUGUAGGGAAAAAACUAAUCUCCUGUUUCUAAUUGGAUCAAUCCUGGGCUCAGCAAGAAGACUAUCGGAAAUCAGAAUGGAAUGACUUUGAAUUCCUAUUUACAUAAAACACGUUCCAAUUCCUGAACUGAGGGUGAGGAUCCUACUGGCCAGGGAGCUCAAAAUUGAAUCAUAUUAACAUUUCUAUCCUUAUUUGGGGUCAGGAAUUGACAUGUACUUUUUGACACUGUAUUUUCUGCCUGUUGAGUUCUGCGGCAGCUACCAAAUGCACUAUCGAGAUAAUUCAUCCAAACUAAAUGAUGGUUGAUAAAGGUUUUUGCCAGUGAACAAAAAACAAAAUUACUGGCCCUUAGUGACCAUUUUAUCAAAUACAUGUGAAAGGAGUAAUAUUUAGCUUGAUACGAUAGUACUAUAAGGAACUUUUGGAUUUCUGCUUAGCAACCUGAAAUUGCUAUUCUAUACAAUCAGACCAAAUUUGAGUGAAAACACAAUCCAGGGACUGUUCAAAAUUUGACAAAGUGAUGGGUGAUGACAAAAAUGCCUUAUUAAUCGGAAAAAAAGGCUAAUGGUGAUAUCAGCCUUAUUGGGGCUGAUAAAGAUAUCAUGCCAAUUAUGUCAAAAUGCUAAAAAUCAGCCAGAUUAAUCUGUCCAUCUCUAGUUUAAACCACGUAAAUGUUUCAGUGGUACUUCACUGAAGAUUAUGCAAAACAUACUGAAUACUGUCCAGUUUUACUGCCAGUUCCCUGAGGAAGAAAUGUAAAAACAGAAAAAACAUCAGACCUAGCCAAGCAGGCAGUGAAAGUCCUGCAGAGUGCAUCACUGUUCUUGACGAUUGCAUCAACAAAAACCAGCACAGCAAACCUGACAAACACAACCUGUAGAGACCCAGGAAGUCUUUACCAAUAACUUUUAUAUUCUUGCUCAGGGUAAACUGCUCUGAACAGGUCAGCAGAGGUGUGAGUUUGAUGAAAGUGAUGUCAGAUAUUUCUGUUGAGAGCAGGUUUGACAAGGAAUCCUUCAAAAGAAGCAGUGCUGGCUACGAAAAGCCCCACACUUUAGUAACUGCUGAGAGUGGGAUGCCUGCACAGCUGCCUUCCAAGCACGGCACUGUCUCCCACUUGCAGUGAACUACAGAGAGGCAUGAAAAAAGCUGCAGUGAAUUGUGCAUCGCUUCCCCGCCUCUGACGAUCUUCUAUACACAGAAAACACACCAUGGAUGAAAAAUAUAACACAUAAACAAUUUCCAAACUGGGACACAGGAAGCCUCUGCAUAGAUUCUUGAAAUGCUGACGCAUGGAGCCAAUUCAAGGCAAUAUUUCUGGAUGAAACCAAAAAGCAUUCAUGUUGAUGAAAGAGAGAUUAUGAGGGAUCCUUUCCCCUGCCCAGAAAGCUUAGAAGUUAUUAGUGUUGUAACAACCCUGGCAGGGACCCACUAACUCCCCUGCCAAGUCUGAACCUCUUAUUGGUCAGGGGGCUGUAGCUUUUUGGAUCAAAUUUUUUUUUUUAAUACAAGUUGGGACAUCCUGUCCAAUGGCUCGAAACCAGGACCAGUACUGCUACAUGGUCAGAGCAAUUGCAGCAUAGCCUGUGUGCAACAGAGGCCUAAAUAUAUAUAUAUAUAUAUAUAUAUAUGUAUGUAUAUAUGCGUGUGUGUGUGUGUGUGUGUGUGUGUGUGUGUGUGUGUGUGUGUGUGUGUGUGUGUGUGUAUAUAUAUGCGUGUGUGUGUGUAUGUGUGUGUGUGUACAUAUUAUACACAUAUUAUAUACAUUUUAUGUAAGGUUGUAACUAUGAGUCUUUGAAAACAGGACAUAGUCAUUUGAUCUUUGUACUUAGAUAUAUGUAAUUAAGUUCUUUUUUAAGAAGUGGGAUAUCUAAAAAUCUCAGAGUGUCUAAAUUAAUGCAAUAUAUUCCCUCCAUUGGACCAGUUGUGAUUACAGUCUGAAUAAAUAUCUGACAACAAUCUCCACUGGUACUGUUUGAAUGUUUAAACUGUAUACUGUAAAAUUUAACGUAUCAUUUUUCCUUUUCUUUUUCUUGAGCAGCACAGAUGUUACUUUUAUCAGAUUCUUAGGAAGUGAUAAAAGAUAAACAAAUGUUAGCUCUACUUUGCCUGCUAAUGACUCUGAUUUGUCUUGAGUAGUGAUGAGUAAUGAUUAUUAACUGUGAGUCAAAAGAAUUGCUCCUGCAAAUUAGUUUGAGUUAUGUAAUUAGUUUUCUCAUUUAUUAGAUGAUAAGUUCUGUUCUCUCUUAGACAUCAACAACAACAAUCAGCUAACCACUUAAUUCUUUAUGUUAGAGUACAUUUUGGCCCAAAGACAUGCCAUCCUCUUUCAGUAUUAUUUUACUCAGUAUUCCAUGGGAUAUUUCAGGUGUGAUGGAUAUCUCUUGUGAGCAGCCAGAAAAAAAGAUACACAGCUACAGCACCACACUGGUGUAUUCAAUGCCUGGCAUUAAGGAGGAAAAACUACAUUAGCAGGGUUGUCAUGUACUGAGCUGUGGGAUACAUUACAGCCAGAAGCAGUUUUAAAACAAGUUGGGGCCUUGCCAAGAAGUCUCAAAGCAAUAUC